UUCAGGCAAUUUCGCUCCCCAAGAUGCGAUUCAUCGCUCUCUAUACUCAAAUCAUCCAUGUAUUAACCUUCAAUCCACCGCUCUCGUUCUCACCCUUCAAUCCAUUGCUCCAUCGUCUUCAAUCUUCAACCUUCAAUCUUCAACAAUCUGCCCAAGACGACGAUUACCAAUUCUGUUUAGGGUUCUGCCUCCAUCGUCGUCUUCUUCAAUCUUCAACCUUCCAGGUCUGAGCAUAUAAUCCUAAUCAAUCCAUCGCUUCCAUUGUCAUCUUCCUUCAAGCUUCAAUCAAGGUUCUAGGGUGGAGAUUCUAGCAUUAAGAGGGUAAAGGUUGAGCAAGAGGUAGAAUCACAUGCUAUUGGUGGACCACAAUCAGUAGAUCAGAGAACUGAUGAUGUAGAGCAGCAUAUGGAUGCUAUAUUCAAAAUCUUCACAAAGAUCAGUUCUAUGGUGCAAAAUUCCAACUCUUUUUCUUUGAAAUAUAUUUGUUUUAUGUUAAAGUUCAUUAUAGCUGGUUCAACAAGCUCUAACCUUUCAUGUUUAAUUAGUUUUUUAUAGAACCACGUAAGAUUACGGGUAAAAUUCCAUGCUUUUACGUAACUUACCGGGUAAGAUUUUAAUCUAUUAAAAUGAUAUCAUAUGCAACAUUUUUUUUUAGUAAGGGGACGUUUACCAAACGCUUAUCUGGGUAAGUGCUUACCAAGUAACAUUACCUCACUGUGUGAAUAUGGUAAAGACCAAGUAUCUUACCCGGUAAGAGCGAGACAAGGACCAAGAGUCUUAUCCGGUAAGUGAUGCGAUAACUCUUACCACGGUAAGCGCUUACCGGGUAAAUUGUUGCAUACGAUGUCGUUUUGGUGAAUUGAAAUCUUACCCGGUAAGUAAAUAAUAAUGUUAAAUUUUACCGGUAAGCACUUACCGGGUAAGUGUUUGGUAAACGGCCCCUAAGUGUUUACAUGGUAAAAGUCAUUGCUUUCACUUAUGGGUAAGACUCUCGAUCCUUCUCAUCACUCUUACCGGGUAAGUUUUUUAAUCCUUGUUAUGUUCAUCCGAUCAAGUAAAGUGACCUGGUAAGCAUGUACUAGGUAAGUGAUUAGUAAACGGCUCCAUGGACCACAUGAUUUGCUUUAACAACUGAUCGUGUGUAAUGUGAUUUCUACUUGUCUAUAACCACAAAUUUUUAAUAAGUUUCAAGUUUAUCAUAGACACUAUGGGUUUGUUUACUAAAUGCUUAUUGGAUAUGCCUACGACUAAGAAUCUUACCUGGUUAGAAGCAAUGCAAUGAUCGAUAAUCUUACGCGGUAAUUGAGAAAAAAUGUUGACUCUUAACGGUAAGUACUUACCGGGUAAGCAUCUUGUAAACGGCCCCUUACUGUUAAAAAUAUUUUCAAGUUUAUGAUGGACACUAUGGGUUUGUUUACUAAAUGCUUAUUGGAUAUGCCUAGGACUAAGAAUCUUACCUAGUUAGAAGCAAUGCAAUGAUCGAAAAUCUUAUGCGGUAAUUGAGGGAAAAUGUUGACUCUUAAAGGUAAGUACUUACCGGGUAAGCAUCUGAUAAAGUGUAAUAACCCAAAAGAAGAAAAAAGAAAAAGAAAAAAGAAAAUGAUUGCUAGAUAAUAAAUUAUAGAGAUUGGUUAUGUAAAUGUAGGGAAAGUGAAUGGUUUAUAACUAACAUUGAUGGUAAUUCAAUGUCAUGCUAACCAAUGGGCUUGAAACCCCCAAGACUUAUCGUUUCCUUUUCCAUAACUACCGAUAGCUUAGCAUAAAAAGGGGAUUUUCUAACCUUAUAUGAAUUUUGGUCGAUAAGGAGAACUAUUACGGACAAAGGCAACGGUAGACACUGAAACAAAAGUCGACGGUAUUGUACAUCGCAGCUAAUUCGACGCCAAUCGGUAAG
Long non-coding RNA from Cynara cardunculus var. scolymus (artichoke), 1894 nucleotides. RefSeq lists it as uncharacterized. The transcript is spliced from 3 exons. The record is from RefSeq and is a predicted model, not a curated record. NCBI's taxonomy places the organism in Eukaryota, Viridiplantae, Streptophyta, Magnoliopsida, Asterales, Asteraceae.